This 899-nucleotide long non-coding RNA is filed under the name Salmo salar (Atlantic salmon). RNAcentral's name for it is "lncRNA (ENSSSAG00000118551.1)". The record is from RNAcentral. Lineage: Eukaryota; Metazoa; Chordata; Actinopteri; Salmoniformes; Salmonidae.
GUCAGAGCGCACGACAAGACGUGGCCGGUAGCAGUCAGUCAACGAGGGUAAUAUCCCGGUGCGAGCCAGCACACGGGCAUACAGAGCGAGAGGUGGGCACCCGUCCCGGACACUUUACAGUAGGCUGGUUACCUCCUGUUACAAAUUCAUAUAUGAAGAAAAGCAAUCAGGUGGUCCUGAAUGGAAAAUUGCUGAAUUUAUUUACAACUACAAAAAGAAGAAUAAAACGAGAGUACUGGUGAGACAGACGGUGGUGAGGCUGAGGCAGGCUGUGAUGCAUGGAGGAGGAGGCAGAGGAGACACAGAAAGAGAGGAAGCCAGCAGAGAGAAAGGUUCCAUGACUUUAUGGAGACAUUUCUUCCCAUUCUUUCCAAGAAGUUGGAUACACAACAUCAACACUCCCAGUAAACUGGACACAUGAAUAUUUGUUGUGCUACAAGAGCUACACCAGAGCACCCACACAGACCAAGUCUCAAGGAACAGGUUGGCAAGGACACAGGAGAGGCAUCAUGGGAGGAACAAAACGGGAUAAGAAAUGUGACGACUGACUGAGUGAAAGAAGAAAACGUCAGAGAAAGAAGGAAAGAGAGAAGGAUUGUGCGUUCUCUACUUUCUCAGAAGUGCAGCCCCUAAAUUCCUGUUACUAUGCCUGAGAGAGGGAGGGCAGCAGACCAGUCAAAAUGAACCCCUACGUCACCUCUCACUUUAGGAGGGAUCUCUUUCCCCACUUCCACUUGUUGUAGAGGCUUCUCUUCUCUUCACCCCUCUCUUACUGUUUGUGUGACAUGGGUACACCUGUUUCUGUGUUAACCUAGGACAACAGGUAACAUCUGUCUCUGUAAACCUAGGACAACAGGUAACAUCUGUCUCUGUAAACCUAGGACAACAGGUAACACCUG